RNAcentral lists this ribosomal RNA (254 nucleotides) under uncultured bacterium. Its description in RNAcentral is "partial 16S ribosomal RNA". It matches the Rfam family "Bacterial small subunit ribosomal RNA", at positions 524 to 776 of the family's 1533-position model. The record is from RNAcentral.
UACGUAGGGGGCGAGCGUUGUCCGGAUUUAUUGGGCGUAAAGAGCUCGUAGGCGGUUCGAUAAGUCGGACGUGAAAUCUCCACGCUCAACGUGGAGGGGCCGUUCGGUACUGUCGUGACUCGAGUCCGGUAGGGGAGUGUGGAAUUCCCGGUGUAGCGGUGAAAUGCGCAGAGAUCGGGAGGAACACCCGUAGCGAAGGCGGCACUCUGGGCCGGUACUGACGCUGAGGAGCGAAAGCGUGGGGAGCAAACAGG